UACGGGGGGGGCAAGCGUUGUUCGGAAUUACUGGGCGUAAAGGGCGCGUAGGCGGCCCACUAAGUCAGACGUGAAAUCCCCCGGCUUAACCUGGGAACUGCGUCUGAUACUGGAGGGCUUGAGUAUGGGAGAGGGAUGUAGAAUUCCAGGUGUAGCGGUGAAAUGCGUAGAUAUCUGGAGGAAUACCGGUGGCGAAGGCGGCAUCCUGGACCAUUACUGACGCUGAGGCGCGAAAGCAUGGGGAGCAAACAGG
Molecule: ribosomal RNA, 253 nt
Filed under: uncultured bacterium
Lineage: Bacteria
Description: partial 16S ribosomal RNA
Rfam family: Bacterial small subunit ribosomal RNA
Source: RNAcentral